UACAUGGGGUGCAAACGUUGCUCGGAAUUAUUGGGCGUAAAGAGCUCGUAGGCGGUUUGUUGUGUCGGCUGUGAAAUCCCGAGGCUCAACCUCGGGUCUGCAGUCGAUACGAGCAAACUAGAGUGUUGCAGGGGAGACUGGAAUUCCUGGUGUAGCGGUGAAAUGCGCAGAUAUCAGGAGGAACACCGGUGGCGAAGGCGGGUCUCUGGACAGUUCCUGACACUGAGGCACGAAGGCCAGGGGAGCAAACGGG
Molecule: ribosomal RNA, 253 nt
Filed under: uncultured bacterium
Lineage: Bacteria
Description: partial 16S ribosomal RNA
Rfam family: Bacterial small subunit ribosomal RNA
Source: RNAcentral